Molecule: ribosomal RNA, 253 nt
Filed under: uncultured prokaryote
Description: partial 16S ribosomal RNA
Rfam family: Bacterial small subunit ribosomal RNA
Source: RNAcentral
UACAGAGGGUGCAAGCGUUAAUCGGAAUUACUGGGCGUAAAGGGCGCGUAGGCGGCUAUAUAAGUUAUGUGUGAAAUCUCUGGGCUUAACCUGGGAACUGCCCAUAAUACUGUAUAGCUAGAGUAGAGUAGAGGAAAGUGGAAUUUCCGGUGUAGCGGUGAAAUGCGUAGAUAUCGGAAGGAACACCAGUGGCGAAGGCGGCUUUCUGGACUCAUACUGACGCUGAGGCGCGAAAGCGUGGGGAGCAAACAGG